CCUACGGGAGGCAGCAGUGAGGAAUAUUGGUCAAUGGUCGGAAGCCUGAACGAGCCAAGCCGCGUGCGGGAGGAAGGUACAGAGUAUCGUAAACCUCUUUUGUCAGGGAACAAAGCCUGGUACGCGUCCCCGGCUGAGUGUACCUUACGAAAAAGCAUCGGCUAACUCCGUGCCAGCAGCCGCGGUAAUACGGAGGAUUCGAGCGUUAUCCGGAUUUAUUGGGUUUAAAGGGUGCGCAGGCGGUCUGUUAAGUCAGCGGUCAAAUCCCGGGGCCCAACCCCGGCCCCGCCUUGGAUCCGGGCAGUCUAGAGUGGGAGAGAGGUAGGCGGAAUGCGUGGUGUAGCGGUGAAAUGCAUAGAGAUCGCGCAGAACUCCGAUUGCGAAGGCAGCAUGCCGGAUCAAAACUGACGCUGAGGCACGAAAGCGUGGGUAGCGAACAGGAUUAGAUACCCUUGUAGUC
RNAcentral lists this ribosomal RNA (460 nucleotides) under uncultured bacterium. RNAcentral describes it as "partial 16S ribosomal RNA". It matches the Rfam family "Bacterial small subunit ribosomal RNA", at positions 338 to 795 of the family's 1533-position model. The record is from RNAcentral.